AACAAGGUUUCCGUAGGUGAACCUGCGGAAGGAUCAUUACCGAGUUCUCGGGCUUCGGCUCGAAUCUCCCACCCUUUGUGAACAUACCUCUGUUGCUUUGGCGGCUCUUUGCCGCGAGGAGGCCCUCGCGGGCCCCCCCGCGCGCUUUCUGCCAGAGGACCUUCAAACUCCAGUCAGUAAACGUCGACGUCUGAUAAACAAGUUAAUAAACUAAAACUUUCAACAACGGAUCUCUUGGUUCUGGCAUCGAUGAAGAACGCAGCGAAAUGCGAUAAGUAAUGUGAAUUGCAGAAUUCAGUGAAUCAUCGAAUCUUUGAACGCACAUUGCGCCCCCUGGCAUUCCGGGGGGCAUGCCUGUUCGAGCGUCAUUACAACCCUCAAGCUCUGCUUGGUAUUGGGCGCCGUCCUCUCUGCGGACGCGCCUUAAAGACCUCGGCGGUGGCUGUUCAGCCCUCAAGCGUAGUAGAAUACACCUCGCUUUGGAGCGGUUGGCGUCGCCCGCCGGACGAACCUUCUGAACUUUUCUCAAGGUUGACCUCGGAUCAGGUAGGGAUACCCGCUGAACUUAAGCAUAUC
Molecule: ribosomal RNA, 576 nt
Filed under: Diplodia seriata
Lineage: Eukaryota; Fungi; Ascomycota; Dothideomycetes; Botryosphaeriales; Botryosphaeriaceae
Description: eukaryotic LSU rRNA
Rfam family: 5.8S ribosomal RNA (bases 215-368)
Source: RNAcentral